RNAcentral lists this small RNA (836 nucleotides) under Pongo abelii (Sumatran orangutan). RNAcentral's name for it is "retained intron". Lineage: Eukaryota; Metazoa; Chordata; Mammalia; Primates; Hominidae. The record is from RNAcentral.
CACGCUGAGCCUCUGCCUUGGAGAUUCUCAGUGCUGCAGAUGAUGUCCCUAAGGGGCAGCCUCUCGCGCCUACUCCAGACGCGAGUGCAUUCCAUCCUGAAGAAAUCCGUCCACUCCGUGGCUGUGAUAGGAGCCCCGUUCUCACAAGGGCAGAAAAGAAAAGGAGUGGAGCAUGGUCCCGCUGCCAUAAGAGAAGCUGGCUUGAUGAAAAGGCUCUCCAGUUUGGGCUGCCACCUAAAAGACUUUGGAGAUUUGAGUUUUACUCCAGUCCCCAAAGAUGAUCUCUACAACAACCUGAUAGUGAAUCCACGCUCAGUGGGUCUUGCCAACCAGGAACUGGCUGAGGUGGUUAGCAGAGCUGUGUCGGAUGGCUACAGCUGUGUCACACUGGGAGGAGACCACAGCCUGGCAAUCGGUACCAUUAGUGGCCAUGCCCGACACUGCCCAGACCUUUGCGUUGUCUGGGUUGAUGCCCAUGCUGACAUCAACACACCCCUUACCACUUCAUCAGGAAAUCUCCAUGGACAGCCAGUUUCAUUUCUCCUCAGAGAACUACAGGAUAAGGUACCACAACUCCCAGGAUUUUCCUGGAUCAAACCUUGUAUCUCUUCUGCAAGUAUUGUGUAUAUUGGUCUGAGAGACGUGGACCCUCCUGAACAGUAAGUUGAUGCAUUUGGCUGAAGUUUAGGGCCUGUCCUAGCCAAUUAUGUUCUAUUUGAAAGGCUGAUGCUUAACUUGGUCUAUUGUAGGUCACUACAACAAACCCACCCUCUCCCCCAAAUACACAUUUGUUAAAAAUGCUCUUUUAACUAAGGACUCCUUCCUUUAUAUCUCAU